UACGUAGGGUGCGAGCGUUAAUCGGAAUUACUGGGCGUAAAGCGUGCGCAGGCGGUUUUGUAAGCCAGAUGUGAAAUCCCCGGGCUCAACCUGGGAAUGGCAUUUGGGACUGCAAGGCUUGAGUGCGGCAGAGGAGACUGGAAUUCCUGGUGUAGCAGUGAAAUGCGUAGAUAUCAGGAGGAAUACCGAUGGCGAAGGCAGGUCUCUGGGCUGAUACUGACGCUCAUGCACGAAAGCGUGGGGAGCAAACAGG
Molecule: ribosomal RNA, 253 nt
Filed under: uncultured bacterium
Lineage: Bacteria
Description: partial 16S ribosomal RNA
Rfam family: Bacterial small subunit ribosomal RNA
Source: RNAcentral